CAGCCGCCGCGGUAAUACAGAGGGUGCGAGCGUUAAUCGGAUUUACUGGGCGUAAAGCGUGCGUAGGCGGCUUUUUAAGUCGGAUGUGAAAUCCCUGAGCUUAACUUAGGAAUUGCAUUCGAUACUGGGAAGCUAGAGUAUGGGAGAGGAUGGUAGAAUUCCAGGUGUAGCGGUGAAAUGCGUAGAGAUCUGGAGGAAUACCGAUGGCGAAGGCAGCCAUCUGGCCUAAUACUGACGCUGAGGUACGAAAGCAUGGGAAGCAAACAGGAUUAGAUACCCCAGUAGUCCCUGUCUCUUAUAA
Molecule: ribosomal RNA, 301 nt
Filed under: uncultured bacterium
Lineage: Bacteria
Description: partial 16S ribosomal RNA
Rfam family: Bacterial small subunit ribosomal RNA
Source: RNAcentral